Molecule: long non-coding RNA, 775 nt
Organism: Eriocheir sinensis (Chinese mitten crab)
Lineage: Eukaryota; Metazoa; Arthropoda; Malacostraca; Decapoda; Varunidae
Exons: 5
Source: RefSeq, a predicted model, not a curated record
ACGAUUGUUGUCGCUGCCAUUACGUCUAGCGCCUGGCAGGUCUCAUAAUACGUCUUCCUUGUCCAUGGCCGAGGGGGAUACUUGGCGGUGAGGCCAGAGGUCAACAUUUCAACAAGAGUCACCCAGGGUGUGGGUGACCAGGGGUGAGCAGUGACCUGACCACCCUCCCCUUGCCACAGGAACCCAAGGAGUAUGGCUUGAUCCUGCCCAUCAAGAACAAGAACAAGGUUGAGGGAGAGCUAGGCACGCGGAAACUCAACACUCUGCUGGACUCAGAUGACGAGUUGGACCAGGAUGAAGAGUCCCCUCUUAACUGGGUGGAGGCAUCCCUCAAGCCGGGAACUCAGGUCAGCAGAGUCUACAGAAGCGGCUGCUGCGUGAAGCUCUGGAGGAGGACGCGUCAGUGUUCCAGCGUGACGAGGCGUACGACAGCAUGCAGGCCGCCAAGACGGGCCGCCGGGAAGCUAAGGACCCAGCCGCCAAGAAGAGUGUGAUCUUCAGAGAGAAUACAAGAGGCACAGAGCAGCAACACACACACACACACACACGCACGGAUUGCCUUGUGUUGAGAUGUCUGGAAGGGCAGCGUGUUGGCCGGCUCCUUGUGUCUUCCCAGCCAUGGAGUGCACAGACAUGAAUAAGCUCACAGGCCCCACAGGAUGUCCCCGACAGUAUUUUUACAAACCCCACAGACACAUGCCCCCCAGACACAUAUGUAAGACCCCUUCCCCCUUACUCUCUCCCUCUCUGAAGCGACACCACCCUUGGCAUAAAC